RNAcentral lists this transfer RNA (85 nucleotides) under Bacteroidales bacterium. RNAcentral's name for it is "tRNA-Leu". It matches the Rfam family "tRNA". Rfam says of the family: Transfer RNA (tRNA) molecules are approximately 80 nucleotides in length. The record is from RNAcentral. Lineage: Bacteria; Pseudomonadati; Bacteroidota; Bacteroidia; Bacteroidales.
GCUCUGGUGGUGGAAUUGGUAGACACGCGGGACUUAAAAUCCCGUGAGCAAUGCGCUCUUAUGGGUUCAAGUCCCAUCCGGAGUA